GCCUAGUUGGUCUAGCGGUCAGGAUUUGUGGCUCUCACCCACAAGGCACGGGUUCGACUCCCGUACUAGGAA
Symsagittifera roscoffensis is the source of this 72-nucleotide non-coding RNA. The record is from the annotation of a RefSeq genome assembly. Lineage: Eukaryota; Metazoa; Xenacoelomorpha; Acoela; Convolutidae.